RNAcentral lists this small RNA (778 nucleotides) under Pongo abelii (Sumatran orangutan). RNAcentral's name for it is "processed transcript". The record is from RNAcentral. Lineage: Eukaryota; Metazoa; Chordata; Mammalia; Primates; Hominidae.
UCGUCACCCGGAUCCCCGGGGCCGCAGUGACACUCGGAGAUCACUCUGGGUUCACUUAAAUAGGAGUCCUCUCCCCUUUUCAGGGGAACCUGCAGAGUUUGGCAGCGGAAGGAAAGGUCUCCCACCACCCUCCCCCGGUACGAAACAGCGGUGAACUUGUUAGGCGCCCUGGUCUCUCAAGAGGGGCUUGCGAGUUGGUGUUCUGCUCAUUUCUGGCGCUGGAGCCGGAUUGAACAGGUGAGGAAACUGAGGUUUAGACAAGCCGUGGGAGUUUUCCAUGCAUUUACAUCUAAUUUAGUGGUAUUUACAAGACUGGAACUUGGAUCUUCUGAUGUCCAGUCCAUUGCUUUUUGUAUUCUGCCAUCAUUUCAGUUCUGAUAGCAAUGAGGACACAUCAUGGAAACUGCAAUACACAAAGGACUGUUAAGCAUGCCCCCAGUGACCUGGGUUCUAGUUCUGGGACUACAUUUGGCUGUAUGACCUGGGCCAAAUCAUAUCACUUCCAAGUCUCAAGUGUCUCACAUAUAAAAUAAAACGUUUGUAUGAAAUUAUGUUUUUUCUUUCCAACUUUAGCAUUCUGUGAUGUUUACCAAUGUGUUUGUAAUCCAAUGUUAUCAUUUUCUCUAGAGGAAGGACAUCUUUUUACCCUACAUCACCUAAGAGACCUAGCUAAUUACUCUUUCACCUUUAGUUUAUCCCUUCCCACCUUUACUACAUACCACUUCAUCAAAGGAAUGAAACUUAACAAGUGUAUUUUAGCUUAGCAUCUACAGUAUAU